This 132-nucleotide unclassified non-coding RNA is filed under the name fungal sp. RNAcentral describes it as "partial internal transcribed spacer region". The stretch from base 1 to 46 matches the Rfam family "Eukaryotic small subunit ribosomal RNA", at positions 1786 to 1831 of the family's 1831-position model. The record is from RNAcentral. Lineage: Eukaryota; Fungi.
AAGUCGUAACAAGGUUUCCGUAGGUGAACCUGCGGAAGGAUCAUUAAUGAAUUUGGAGAAUUGAUGCUGGCCUCUCUGAGUACGAUUUAUGCGAAUAAGUCAAAACUUUCAACAACGGAUCUCUUGGUUCUG